RNAcentral lists this ribosomal RNA (460 nucleotides) under uncultured bacterium. RNAcentral describes it as "partial 16S ribosomal RNA". It matches the Rfam family "Bacterial small subunit ribosomal RNA", at positions 338 to 795 of the family's 1533-position model. The record is from RNAcentral.
CCUACGGGUGGCAGCAGUGAGGAAUAUUGGUCAAUGGGCGCGAGCCUGAACCAGCCAAGUAGCGUGAAGGAUGACUGCCCUAUGGGUUGUAAACUUCUUUUAUCAAGGAAUAAAGUGAGGCACGUGUGCCUUUUCGCAUGUACUUUAUGAAUAAGCAUCGGCUAACUCCGUGCCAGCAGCCGCGGUAAUACGGAGGAUCCGAGCGUUAUCCGGAUUUAUUGGGUUUAAAGGGUGCGUAGAUGGGUUGUUAAGUCAGUUGUGAAAGUUUGCGGCUCAACCGUAAAAUGGCAAUUGAUACUGGCAGCCUUGAGUGCAGUUGAGGUAGGCGGAAUUCGUGGUGUAGCGGUGAAAUGCUUAGAUAUCACGAAGAACUCCGAUUGCGAAGGCAGCUUACUAAACUGCCACUGACAUUGAUGCUCGAAAGUGUGGGUAUCAAACAGGAUUAGAUACCCCUGUAGUC